This 438-nucleotide ribosomal RNA is filed under the name uncultured bacterium. RNAcentral's name for it is "bacterial SSU rRNA". It matches the Rfam family "Bacterial small subunit ribosomal RNA", at positions 30 to 464 of the family's 1533-position model. The record is from RNAcentral.
AUUGAACGCUGGCGGCAGGCCUAACACAUGCAAGUCGAGCGGUAGAGAGAAGCUUGCUUCUCUUGAGAGCGACGGACGGGUGAGUAAUGCCUAGGAAUCUGCCUGGUAGUGGGGGGAUAACGUUCGGAAACGAACGCUAAUACCGCAUACGUCCUACGGGAGAAAGCAGGGGACCUUCGGGCCUUGCGCUAUCAGAUGAGCCUAGGUCGGAUUAGCUAGUUGGUGAGGUAAUGGCUCACCAAGGCGACAAUCCGUAACUGGUCUGAGAGGAUGAUCAGUCACACUGGAACUGAGACACGGUCUAGACUCCUACGGGAGGCAGCAGUGGGGAAUAUUGGACAAUGGGCGAAAGCCUGAUCCAGCCAUGCCGCGUGUGUGAAGAAGGUCUUCGGAUUGUAAAGCACUUUAAGUUAGGGGAGGUAAAGGGGACGAGGUUAA